GAUAUCUCAGGCACUGACUUUCUUGUUCUCUUAAAGUAGUUUUUUUUUUUCUUAGUAACACCCAUUUUCUCUGGUUUCAAACUGCUCUUUUCUGGAGGAGAUAAUCGCCAAAAAAUCUUUUGACCCAUUUGCUUGCAAAUGCCCCUUGGCCAUGCAGCCCUAAGCCAGGCUGAUCCAGCCUUGUCUCGCCCCUCUCUGCAAGAGACUCGUGGGUACAGGAUGAUUGAGGGGGCCCCAGCCUCCCCAGCAGCUGCUGACUUGCGCUUGGAAAUUCAAUCCUCUCAAGGCAAGAAUUUCUGACAUGACAUGGGAAAAGCUGAAGAAGUCAGUCUUUGGGGUGUGUUUUCAUCUAGGAGGUGGCUUGAGAUGGAUUCAUGGCAAAUCACAAUAAAUUAUUUAUCAGAUAAUAA
RNAcentral lists this long non-coding RNA (410 nucleotides) under Homo sapiens (human). RNAcentral describes it as "HSALNT0078394". The record is from RNAcentral. Lineage: Eukaryota; Metazoa; Chordata; Mammalia; Primates; Hominidae.